Molecule: ribosomal RNA, 2022 nt
Filed under: Clostridioides difficile
Lineage: Bacteria; Bacillati; Bacillota; Clostridia; Peptostreptococcales; Peptostreptococcaceae
Description: bacterial LSU rRNA
Rfam family: Bacterial large subunit ribosomal RNA
Source: RNAcentral
UCAAGGUGAGAGAUACGGAGGUAGAGCACUGAAUGUCCUAGGGGGUAUUGCACCUACCGAAGACUAUCAAACUCCGAAUGCCGUCAUCUUAUACUUGGGAGUCAGACUGUGGGUGAUAAGAUUCAUAGUCGAAAGGGCAACAGCCCAGAUCGUCAGCUAAGGUCCCUAAAUGUAAGUUAAGUGGUAAAGGAUGUGGGAUUGCACAGACAACCAGGAUGUUGGCUUAGAAGCAGCCACUCAUUCAAAGAGUGCGUAAUAGCUCACUGGUCGAGUGAUCCUGCGCCGAAGAUUUCCGGGGCUAAAACUUACUACCGAAGCUACGGCAUCAGUAAUGAUGGGUAGGGGAGCUUCCCAUACGGGUUGAAGCAUGACCGUAAGGACAUGUGGACAGUAUGGGAGUGAGAAUGUUGGCAUGAGUAGCGAGAUGUGGGUGAGAAUCCCACAGGCCGUAAACCCAAGGUUUCCAGGGGAAGGUUCGUCCGCCCUGGGUUAGUCGGGACCUAAGCUGAGGCCGAAAGGCGUAGGUGAUGGACAACAGGUUGAUAUUCCUGUACUACCGAUAACCGUUUGAGAGAAGGGAUGACACAGUAGGAUAAGCUAAGCACACUGUUGGUUAUGUGUGCCCAAGCAUUGAGGCAGUCAAAGUAGGCAAAUCCGCUUUGAUAAUGCUGGGAUGUGAUGGGGAGCGAAAUUUAGUAGCGAAGUAGCUGAUUUCACACUGUCAAGAAAAGUCUCUAUCGAGGUUAAAGGUACCCGUACCGCAAACCGACACAGGUGGGUGAGGAGAGUAUCCUAAGGCCAGCGAGAGAACUGUUGUUAAGGAACUCGGCAAAAUGACCCCGUAACUUAGGGAUAAGGGGUGCCACCAUCAGGUGGCCGCAGAGAAUAGGCCCAAGCGACUGUUUACCAAAAACAUAGGUUUCUGCUAAGUCGCAAGACGAUGUAUAGGAGCUGACGCCUGCCCGGUGCUGGAAGGUUAAGGGGAUCUGUUAGAGCAAUCGAAGCAGUGAACUUAAGCCCCAGUAAACGGCGGCCGUAACUAUAACGGUCCUAAGGUAGCGAAAUUCCUUGUCGGGUAAGUUCCGACCCGCACGAAAGGCGUAACGAUUUGGGCACUGUCUCAACAACAGACUCGGUGAAAUUGUAAUUCCGGUGAAGAUGCCGGAUACCUGCGACAGGACGGAAAGACCCCAUGGAGCUUUACUGUAGCUUGACAUUGGGUUUUGGUACUACAUGUACAGGAUAGGUGGGAGGCUUUGAAACCAGGACGCCAGUUUUGGCGGAGCCAUCCUUGGGAUACCACCCUUGUAGUACUGGGACUCUAACCAUAGGCCAUGAAUCUGGUCUUGGGACACUGUCAGGUGGGCAGUUUGACUGGGGCGGUCGCCUCCCAAAAGGUAACGGAGGCGCUCAAAGGUUCUCUCAGUACGGUCGGAAAUCGUACGUAGAGUGUAAAGGCAAAAGAGAGCUUGAUUGCAAGACAUACAGGUCGAGCAAGGAUGAAAAUCGGACUUAGUGAUCCGGUGGUUCUGCGUGGAAGGGCCAUCGCUCAACGGAUAAAAGCUACCCUGGGGAUAACAGGCUUAUCUCCCCCAAGAGUCCACAUCGACGGGGAGGUUUGGCACCUCGAUGUCGGCUCAUCACAUCCUGGGGCUGUAGUAGGUCCCAAGGGUUGGGCUGUUCGCCCAUUAAAGUGGUACGCGAGCUGGGUUCAGAACGUCGUGAGACAGUUCGGUCCCUAUCCGUCGCAGGCGUAGGAAAUUUGAGAAGACCUGUCCUUAGUACGAGAGGACCGGGAUGGACGUACCUCUGGUGUACCAGUUGUUCUGCCAAGGGCAUGGCUGGGUAGCUAUGUACGGAAUGGAUAAGCGCUGAAAGCAUCUAAGCGCGAAGCCAACUUCAAGAUAAGAUUUCCCACCGCAAGGGUAAGACCCCAGAAAGACUAUCUGGUUGAUAGGUCGAAGGUGUAAGUGCAGCAAUGUAUUUAGCUUAUCGAUACUAAUAGGUCGAGGACUUGACCAA